GGCGGUGGGACGCUAUGGCGGGCCGGGCGCUGCGCUGGGCCCGGGCACCGGCACCGGGCGCCCCUCACCUCCCCCGGGACAGGCCCUACCGGAGGCUUGAAGGCCACCGGGCGCCGCCAUCACCACGGUGACAGGCCCCGGCACUGCGGCCUCUGAAGAAGCGUUUCUUACCGGAGACCGGCUGGACUCGACCACGGCGGCCGCCAUCUUGCGGCAGCGACCGGACUCGGCUGCCCGUCUACGCUCCAACCUGCUAAAGGUGCUCCGCGUCCGUGACCUGGCGUUCGGAGCCUUGGGGGCCGCACGCACACUCCCCCCCGGCCCCUUCGUCUUCACCCACCACAAGCUGGACGUGCCGCACGGAGGAUAUCUCCCCGUUGAGGAAGGCUGACGGUGCAGCCACGGCGAAGCUCUCCACGCAGCUCCCGCUGACCGCGCAGCGCUUCCCGGUGCGAGAGCUGGAGCUCUUCAGCCCAGUCCGCAUCUCCAAGAAGGCCCUCCUGUGCUUGCUGAGCUGUCUCGGUGUCAUUCAGGAGCUGAAGUUUGAGGAGAACAACGCUUCGCUCCGGAGCACUGCUACUUCAUCCUCAUCCUGCAGGGCCGCAUGGAGGUGGAGAUUGGGAAGGAGAGCCUGAAGUUUGAAAAUGGAGCCUUCACCUGCUAUGGCGUCUCUGCACUGGCACCGCUACCUGCAGGUGAGAGCAGCCAGGAGGACCGGACCC
Long non-coding RNA from Haliaeetus leucocephalus (bald eagle), 722 nucleotides. RefSeq lists it as uncharacterized. NCBI's taxonomy places the organism in Eukaryota, Metazoa, Chordata, Aves, Accipitriformes, Accipitridae. The transcript is spliced from 3 exons. The record is from RefSeq and is a predicted model, not a curated record.